RNAcentral lists this transfer RNA (85 nucleotides) under Felis catus (domestic cat). It matches the Rfam family "tRNA". Rfam says of the family: Transfer RNA (tRNA) molecules are approximately 80 nucleotides in length. Their secondary structure includes four short double-helical elements and three loops (D, anti-codon, and T loops). Further hydrogen bonds mediate the characteristic L-shaped molecular structure. tRNAs have two regions of fundamental functional importance: the anti-codon, which is responsible for specific mRNA codon recognition, and the 3' end, to which the tRNAs corresponding amino acid is attached (by aminoacyl-tRNA synthetases). tRNAs cope with the degeneracy of the genetic code in two manners: having more than one tRNA (with a specific anti-codon) for a particular amino acid; and 'wobble' base-pairing, i.e. permitting non-standard base-pairing at the 3rd anti-codon position. The record is from Rfam by way of RNAcentral. Lineage: Eukaryota; Metazoa; Chordata; Mammalia; Carnivora; Felidae.
GCCUGAGUGGCUCAGUUGGUUAAGCGUCUGACUUCAGCUCAGCUCAUGAUAGCACAGUUCGUGAGUUUGAGCCCCACAUUAGGCU